This is a small nuclear RNA of Marmota marmota marmota (Alpine marmot), 107 nucleotides long. NCBI's taxonomy places the organism in Eukaryota, Metazoa, Chordata, Mammalia, Rodentia, Sciuridae. The record is from Ensembl.
CUGCUCACUUGGGAAGCAUGUGUACUAAAAUUGGAAUGAUGCAGAGAAAAUUAGCAUGGCCCCUGAGCAAGUAUAACAUGCAAAUUCAUGAAGCAUUCUGUAUUUUU